Molecule: non-coding RNA, 280 nt
Organism: Pelobates cultripes (western spadefoot toad)
Lineage: Eukaryota; Metazoa; Chordata; Amphibia; Anura; Pelobatidae
Source: the annotation of a GenBank genome assembly
GGAGUUGGCACCCACACCACUCCAAAUUGCAGAAUUGGUCUGGGUGCCUGGAGUAUUCCUUUAACCGUAAGUCCCACAUGUAUAUAAUUACUCGAUAAUACUAAAUCCCCAUAGGGCAUCACCCUCCUGGAACAACACUUAGUAACAACAGGUUAGUCUUUAAGGAUCCUGAAUGAGGGGAGGGGGGAUAUCGGAGAUAAGCAUAAGGCUAUAUCCUACCGUGGCAGCUACAAUAUGUUAACACUGGCCGUUGAAUAUAAUGCUAUUCUUUGGCUGCAUU